This 72-nucleotide transfer RNA is filed under the name Promethearchaeota archaeon. RNAcentral describes it as "Candidatus Lokiarchaeota archaeon tRNA-Cys". It matches the Rfam family "tRNA". From Rfam's summary of the family: Transfer RNA (tRNA) molecules are approximately 80 nucleotides in length. Their secondary structure includes four short double-helical elements and three loops (D, anti-codon, and T loops). Lineage: Archaea; Promethearchaeati; Promethearchaeota. The record is from RNAcentral.
GCAGAGGUCGCAUAGUGGCCGUGCGCAGGCCUGCAGAGCCUGAUAUCGGGGGUUCAAUUCCCUCCCUCUGCU